This 467-nucleotide ribosomal RNA is filed under the name uncultured bacterium. Its description in RNAcentral is "partial 16S ribosomal RNA". It matches the Rfam family "Bacterial small subunit ribosomal RNA", at positions 28 to 507 of the family's 1533-position model. The record is from RNAcentral.
GAUGAACGCUGGCGGCGUGCUUAACACAUGCAAGUCGAACGGAAAGGCUCCUGCUUGCCGGGGUACUCGAGUGGCGAACGGGUGAGUAACACGUGGGUGAUCUGCCCUGCACUUCGGGAUAAGCCUGGGAAACUGGGUCUAAUACCGGAUAGGACCACAUUUUGGAUGGUGUGGUGGAAAGUUUUUCGGUGUGGGAUGAGCUCGCGGCCUAUCAGCUUGUUGGUGGGGUAAUGGCCUACCAAGGCGUCGACGGGUAGCCGGCCUGAGAGGGUGUACGGCCACAGUGGGACUGAGAUACGGCCCAGACUCCUACGGGAGGCAGCAGUGGGGAAUAUUGCACAAUGGGCGCAAGCCUGAUGCAGCGACGCCGCGUGGGGGAUGACGGCCUUCGGGUUGUAAACUCCUUUCGCUAGGGACGAAGCGUUUUUGUGACGGUACCUGGAGAAGAAGCACCGGCUAACUACGUG